This is a long non-coding RNA of Megalobrama amblycephala (Wuchang bream), 1809 nucleotides long. RefSeq lists it as uncharacterized. The record is from RefSeq and is a predicted model, not a curated record. Lineage: Eukaryota; Metazoa; Chordata; Actinopteri; Cypriniformes; Xenocyprididae. The transcript has 6 exons.
GAUCACAGCGGAACCUGAUUGGCCAAUUUCGCUGUCAGUCAGAGGUUCUCCGUCACCUUCAGUUCCUCCAGUUUUCACGGGCUCAUGCUGACCUGUGCAACGGCUGGAAUCUGAAUUAUGAAAAUGUGGAGGGGAAAAGAGUUGUAAACUAAUUCACUGCCUUGCCUACUAUUAUUUGCGUUACACCUCCUCUGAGUCUGACAAGCAGUUUUUAAGAGGGACCGAAGCAAAGAAGGUGGAGAGAGAAUGAGAUCUCUAAUAGAUGGCAGAAUCUCUCCCGGCCUGGAGGAUUUACAGAGACAAGACGCCAUCUCAGCCUUUAAAACACUCUUAAAAUGACGGAUGAUAUAACACAUGGGACAUUCUUUGGAUUUUGAAGAGUUGUAACUUUGGUACGCCAAAAUCUGAACUGCAUCUGAACUGUCAUUAAACGCUGCCUCAGAAAUCUGUCUGAAAACAGUUUCAUGAGGUACCUUCGUGUGCAAACACUGCCUGCAGAGUCAUUGCCUGAUAGGGUAGUGAGGCAACAAGUCGCUGCCUAAGUUUUCGGAUGCAGCCCAGGAACAAUGAAGAUCUGAAUAUGUAAAAGGGAUUGUAGCUGCUUCAGUGGAGUCAAGGCUGUCAAACCGCUGACCAAGUGUGUCUAACUCCUUCACAGAUGCAAACACCGAAUGAACCCUCCAGCCUGCUUCUCACUUAGCUGAAAGAGCCCUCAUUGGGCUCAACUAACCAUGUAAUGAGUGAGAGCAACCUGUUAGAUGAGGGACUGACCAGGGAACACACACACACCGCUCAGACGCUUGCCUAAACACAGAUAAUCCCUGUAGCUCACUGUAGCAGCGGGGUGCUAGUGAACAGAGCAGUGAUGGAUGUGUUUGCCUACUUAUCUUCCCCUAAUGAUCAAUUGAUUUGCUGCCCCUGGACAGCUGCACAGUCCAGCUUUUGACCGAUAUGGUGGUAGUGAAACCCAGCUGAGGGGGUGGCACUGGAGACGGAGACGAAAUGGCAAUCAAUGAAAACACGAGAUCCACAAAAGCAAAGCAAACUAACUUUAGGUGGCCAUGAUCAGAUAUAGCAAAAGGUAAGGGCUGUGGUGAAGUUUGUUGUUUGGAAACGUAGUAAGGUAGUGUAUUACCAGUUUUGAGCAAUCUCUCGCCACAAGUUAAAUCCAUGUAAAUACCUUUGUAUUAUUUAAUGCUAGAGUUGUACAAAUGAGGGUACUUUCUAACCUCUUCACACAAUCUCUCAUCUAUGUAGGCCUCCAUUGUUGCUGUAGCUUGAAUGUGUUCCUGUCUGUUCUGUUUAUGCAGUUUUUCUUCGACUACCUUGUGAAACUACACCCCAGGGCACAGUUGCCACCUUGUGGAUAAACUAAUUACUGCAAAAAAAUUAAAUGCACAUGUGCGAUCUGUGCGUACAAACUACGCGCGAUUACAAAAAUCCAGCUGUGCGCAUAGUCUUCUGAUGACGAAAUUCGCGUUGCAUGCACUGUACGCUGACCCUCGAGUAUGUGUAAAAAGUGAAGUAUACUUUGGCCUUUAUUGUCACAGAUUCUGUGUUUCUGUUUACUUAAUUUGAGUAUUUUCGGCUCCCUUUGUUUCCUAUGUUUCCUCUGUUGCCAUAGUUACUCAUUAGUUGAUUGAUUUGUCCCACCUGUUCCUUGUUUUCUCACUCACUAUCCUGUGUAUUUAUACCCCAUGUUUAGUUCUGUCCUUUAUCUGUGUUCAUCUGUUAUAUGGUUCGGUUUUUGGUUCCUGAGGUUUUAUUAGUGUUUUGUAUUGUUUUCUUUAAUAAAACUACUUGCACAGA